This 253-nucleotide unclassified non-coding RNA is filed under the name Hevea brasiliensis (rubber tree). The record is from RNAcentral. Lineage: Eukaryota; Viridiplantae; Streptophyta; Magnoliopsida; Malpighiales; Euphorbiaceae.
AGAACAUUGCCCAAAUAAAGGUAGACAAUUGCGAUAACAAAGAAAUUCCAAAUAGCAUCUUCAAAUCCAGUAAAGCAAAGGACCCUUUUUCUGAGAUCGCCCGAAAACAUUCCAGUAUACCCCUUUUAUUUCCAUCAUUUGUGUUGAGACCCAUUUUUUAGGAAUAUAUCAUCUUUGUCAAGCUGCAGGGCUUUAGGAUCGAGCGGAAUCGUUCCCACGGUCAAAACACCAGAAGUUGUGGUAUUAUAUCCAU